CCCUUAGAUGUUCUGGGCCGCACGCGCGCUACACUGAUGCUUUCAACGAGUUUUUCCCUUGAUAGAGAUGUCUGGGUAAUCUUUUGAAUGAGCAUCGUGCUAGGGAUAGUUUAUUGCAAUUAUUAAACUUGAACGAGGAAUUCCUAGUAAACGCAAGUCAUCAGCUUGCAUUGAUUACGUCCCUGCCCUUUGUACACACCGCCCGUCGCUCCUACCGAUUGAAUGCUCAGGUGAGCCAUUCGGACUUUCAUCAUGCUGGUUUCCAGUUUUGAUGAAGGAAAGUCUUGCGAACCUUAUCAUUUAGAGGAAGGAGAAGUCGUAACA
This 324-nucleotide ribosomal RNA is filed under the name uncultured eukaryote. Its description in RNAcentral is "partial 18S ribosomal RNA". It matches the Rfam family "Eukaryotic small subunit ribosomal RNA", at positions 1470 to 1796 of the family's 1831-position model. The record is from RNAcentral.